Molecule: transfer RNA, 79 nt
Filed under: Microbacterium phage Casey
Lineage: Duplodnaviria; Heunggongvirae; Uroviricota; Caudoviricetes
Also listed under: 2 other names
Description: tRNA-Phe
Rfam family: tRNA
About the family: Transfer RNA (tRNA) molecules are approximately 80 nucleotides in length. Their secondary structure includes four short double-helical elements and three loops (D, anti-codon, and T loops).
Source: RNAcentral
GGAUCUGUACCCCAACGGGCAGAGGCGAGGGCAAAAGCAUCGAGCACCCUCGGUCCAGGUUCGAGUCCUGGCGGAUCCA